Molecule: ribosomal RNA, 912 nt
Filed under: uncultured bacterium
Lineage: Bacteria
Description: bacterial SSU rRNA
Rfam family: Bacterial small subunit ribosomal RNA
Source: RNAcentral
GGCUCAGAACGAACGCGGGCGGCGUGCCUAACACAUGCAAGUCGAACGAGAAGUACGUAGCAAUACGUAUUGUAAAGUGGCGCACGGGUGAGUAACACGUGGGUAAUCUGCCCUUGAGUUUGGGAUAACCCCGCGAAAGCGGGGCUAAUACCGGAUAAGACCACGGGGACCAAAGUCCCUGAGGUAAAAGGUGGCCUCUAUUUAUAAGCUACCACUUGAGGAUGAGCCCGCGGCCCAUUAGCUAGUUGGCAGGGUAACGGCCUACCAAGGCAAUGAUGGGUAGCUGGUCUGAGAGGACGAUCAGCCACACUGGAACUGAGACACGGUCCAGACUCCUACGGGAGGCAGCAGUGGGGAAUAUUGCGCAAUGGGCGAAAGCCUGACACAGCAACGCCGCGUGGGGGAUGAAGGUUCUCGGAUUGUAAACCCCUUUCGAUCGGAACGAAUCCCCUCCUGGUAAAUAAUCAGGAGGAUCGACGGUACCGAGAGAAGAAGCCACGGCUAACUCUGUGCCAGCAGCCGCGGUAAGACAGAGGUGGCGAGCGUUGUUCGGAUUUAUUGGGCGUAAAGCGAACGCAGGUGGUUUGGUAAGUCAGGGGUGAAAGCCCACAGCUUAACUGUGGCAUUGCCUUUGAUACUGCCUUUCUUGAGUAGAGUAGGGGGAAGCGGAUUUCCGAGUGUAGAGGUGAAAUUCGUAGAUAUUCGGAGGAACACCGGUGGCGAAGGCGGCUUCCUGGACUCUAACUGACACUCAUGUUCGAAAGCGUGGGGAGCAAACAGGAUUAGAUACCCUGGUAGUCCACGCCCUAAACGAUGGGCACUAGGUGUGGGAGGUAUCGACCCCUUCCGUGCCGCAGCUAACGCAUUAAGUGCCCCGCCUGGGGAGUACGGCCGCAAGGUUGAAACUUAAAG